Molecule: long non-coding RNA, 1284 nt
Organism: Mesocricetus auratus (golden hamster)
Lineage: Eukaryota; Metazoa; Chordata; Mammalia; Rodentia; Cricetidae
Exons: 6
Source: RefSeq, a predicted model, not a curated record
CACAGAGAUUCACCUGCCUCUGCCUCCCGAGUGCUGGGAUUAAAGGCGUGUGCCACCAACGCCCGGCUGCACUGUAGAUUUCUGACACUGUGUGGGUUUCUCUUAGAGUGUCGCCCGUGGAUGCUAUCUGAAGGCCGAGCUAAAGGAAUGACCUGCCCCAGAGAAGGUGGAUAAUUUUUCCAAGCACACACAGGCAUGGCUGUUUGAGGAUUCUUUAAAUUGGGUUAUGAAACUGAGGUCUUAGCCGGGUGGUGGUGGCGCACGCCUUUAAUCCCAGCACUUGGGAGGCAGAGGCAGGUGGAUAUCUGUGAGUUCCAGGCCAGCCUGAUCUACAGAGCUACACAGAGAAACCCUGACUUGGGAAAAAAAAUGACUGAGGUCUUUUCAAGUGCAUGACUCCAGCUGGAAGUCACCUUAAAUACUGUUGAGCUUACUGUUGGCUUCUCAAGGUAUGUAUGUGUUUCUUACCCUUCCCUGUACCAUGCCUAGAGGCAGGUGAUUUUACUUGCAUUUCCUUCUAGGAAGGAUGAGUGUCAUUUUAGUUUGUGUUCUCAGGAAGGGUUCCUGAUUUAAAUGAGGGACUACCGGACAGGCCACCUGGACUGGUCCCAUCAGGGCAGAAAUACCUUGGGCUCAAAUUCCAUGGCUGCUUCUUACUUCCUGGAUCUUCAGUUUCCUACGUCAACUGAGCACUGUUCACUCUCCUGUCAACUCAACAACUCCCUGAAGAAGAUUUGCUGGCCCAUCUCUUCUCCUUCUGGUCACAGGAACCCUAAGUGAGACACUGGUCCUCCUGAUGCAUGGAUGAGGAGGUCAACGCUGCCGCCACAUAGACAAUGCUCAGGCGAGAGGCAUUUGGAGCUGCUGAGAUCGCGCAGGAGACCCUGCUUGACACAGGCUUCACCAGAGAGUUACGUCUGGGUCCCUCUGGCCCCCCAGACGUCCAGCAGAGGGCGCACCGCCCCGUCGAUACCAGGUUAAAGGAUGGAAUAAAUUGGAAAGGAGCCCCAAAGCGCACCGAGAUUACCUGCUAUAAGGCUGGAAAGUCAGAGCACGGUGGGAGAGUGAGGACAGGGGGCGCGCUGGGGGAGAAGACGCUGAUUCUGCAAGAGGAAAUCGGCGCCGACUUUUGGUGAAAGAUGCGGGAAUAAUUGCGGACCCUCAAACAGAAAACCCGCCGCAGACAUCCAGGACAACCAAGGGAGUCACAACGAGGCGGGGAAGAACCACGGAGAAGGAGGAGUUGUUUUGUGAUCUUUGCAGGGUUGGGUGUGUGCGGGGGGG